RNAcentral lists this ribosomal RNA (245 nucleotides) under uncultured bacterium. RNAcentral's name for it is "partial 16S ribosomal RNA". It matches the Rfam family "Bacterial small subunit ribosomal RNA", at positions 524 to 768 of the family's 1533-position model. The record is from RNAcentral.
UACGUAGGUGGCAAGCGUUGUCCGGAUUUACUGGGCGUAAAGAGCGCGCAGGCGGUCGUACAAGUCGCGUGUGAAAGCCCCCGGCUCAACUGGGGAGGGUCACGCGAUACUGUUCGACUCGAAGGCAGGAGAGGGAAGCAGAAUUCCCGGUGUAGUGGUGAAAUGCGUAGAUAUCGGGAGGAAUACCAGUGGCGAAGGCGGCUUCCUGGCCUGUUCUUGACGCUGAGGCGCGAAAGCUAGGGUAG